RNAcentral lists this microRNA precursor (59 nucleotides) under Tetraodon nigroviridis (spotted green pufferfish). Its description in RNAcentral is "Tni-Mir-489-v1_pre stem-loop". The record is from RNAcentral. Lineage: Eukaryota; Metazoa; Chordata; Actinopteri; Tetraodontiformes; Tetraodontidae.
GGUCGUAUGCAUGACGUCAUUUACUUCGAUGAUUGGAGUGACAUCAUAUGUACGGCUGC